AUACUUACCUGGCGGGGGAGAUACCAUGAUCAGGAAGGUGGUUUUCCCAUGGCGAGGCUUAUCCAUUGCACUCCAGAUGUGCUGACACCUGCGUUUUCCCCUAAUGCAGGAAACUUGACUGCAUAAUGUGUGGUAAUGGGGAACUGUGUUCACACUCUCCCCUG
Molecule: small nuclear RNA, 164 nt
Organism: Mesocricetus auratus (golden hamster)
Lineage: Eukaryota; Metazoa; Chordata; Mammalia; Rodentia; Cricetidae
Gene: U1
Rfam family: U1 spliceosomal RNA
About the family: U1 is a small nuclear RNA (snRNA) component of the spliceosome (involved in pre-mRNA splicing).
Source: Ensembl